UAGAUGGACCAUGGCCAAAGUCUGCACAGCAAGGGAUGCCGCUCUCUUCCUCCCCUAGAUGGUGUCCAGGCCUUGGGUAACCUGGCUCGUAGAACCUGCCUGUCAGAGUGUAGCGUCAGAGUGAAACUGCACUAGAUGCCUCAGGGGAGAAGGCAGUGAGGGCUUAUGAGUCCAAUUUUCCAACUCGAGGUGCUCAGGGUCAAGUCCUUGGACGCCACCAGCUCUUCUCCACAUUCCCAACACCACUGCACUAGACCUUCCACGGCUGGAUGUGGUCUCUAGGGGCAUGUGGAGAGUAGGGGUGUGAGUCAGAAGUGACCAGGCUUUCAUCAGCCCUGAAUCAGAGGGAAGGCAGGGAGGAGGGUUGGAGUGACUGUAGAUAGUCUUGCGGUUCCCCCAGCUAGGAAUGAAAGCAUCCCCGACGAAACCAAGGCCUUCUGGAAGGUCUGAGGCUCCUGAUGCACCCAGAUAUGCAGGCCAUUGGUACACACCCCAGAACAGGACAGGCCACCAAAAGCUUGAGAGAGUUAGGAGAAAGGCUGAGAGGGGUGGGGGUAGGGUGGUAGAUCCCUUGGGUUCCUGUGAACUCUGGUUCCACACAGAGGCUUCCCUGUUUCAAUUCACUCCCUUGCCCUACAGAUCCAGAUCCCCUGGCUGAGAGUUGAAGUGGUUUCUUGUUGUGACAAGAGGAAUAACAGACUGGGGUCAGGGGACCAACAUGGAUGUGAGUAUUGGGCUUCUUCGUCCUGGCUCAGAGAUGCCUAAGACCUUCUGCUCCAUGCAUGGUGUGGCAAAACACAAGCUUUGGAAGAGGCCAAACAGACAAACAGAGGAAAACACAAGCGCUUUCUAGACUACAAAGACCAAUCUGCAUUGACCCAGAUAGAGCCGGUCUUCUGACAGUAAGUUCACAUGGUCUUUGAGGAGGUUUGUGUGAGUGCCUGCAUGUGAGACGUUUGAUGGGCCAGUGAGCAUGGCCGCAGGGAUGGUGGGCUAACCUAGUCAUUGCCUUUCUUAGUCUUAACAAUCAGCCAUCAAACCAUUGGUCUUCUAUUCAGCCGGCCACACUACCAUCUUACACCCCACCUACCCAUUUCUCCAUUGGUUAGGGCCCUGAAAUUUUGAGUUUUUUUUUUUUCCCUUAAGGUUGCUGCUCUCCCUGUCUGCUCCCCUCUCCUCUAAAUUCACAGCUUAUUUCUCAAGGGAUGAAAACAUACUCCUGUGGCCACCUGGGAAGCAAAGUAGCUGGGUUGAUACAAGAGGGGAGGGGGGUUAUCAGGUGGCUGUUUUUCUGACCAAGGCAUCCAAGAUGUUGGUUGAGUCAUCCCGUGCUAACCAGCGCCUCCUCUUCUGAGAUGCCCCGGUGUGGAGCCCUGCUGAGUAUGGAAGGGUUGGCAAGUGGCUUCAUGCUCCCUUGAAGGAUGGCAUGUGGGCACAACUAGGAUAGGUUAUAAUGGGUACCAGGGAGGCAAGUCUGGUAGAGCAAUGGGAUGUGUGUUGGGCAGAAUGGAGAAUAGCACCAUUGAGUUCUGGUCUAGAAGGAGAGGGCUAAAAAGGAGGCAAUUGUGCAGGUAAGUGGGCUGGGCCAGAGCCACCAGUGGGUAGCUGGGAGUCUAGUACCAAUUAUCCAAGGAGGAGCGCAGACAACAACCUCUGCCCUACCUUCCCUGUGUCCUUCCUUCCUUCCUUCCUUCCUUCCUUCCUUCCUUCCUUCCUUUUCAUCUCUGCUGAACCCCUCCUUUAUUCCACCGUUCUCCCCAUACCCCAAUCUGUAGCACCUCUCACAUCUACAGGGUUGGGUGGGGAAAGGGCUUGGCUGCCUCAGGGGAGCCUUGUGGAGCAGAGAAGACAAGACCAUUUUUCAGAAGGUGCCCUGUCGGGGUUUUGAGUUCAGUGCCCACAAGAUAAGGAGCCAGGGGAGGUGCACCUGUACUAGUCACUGCAUCCACUCUGUCCCUUGCCCCUCACUUGAUAGAAAAAGGAAAUACAGGUAGUAGCUUAGAGGGGAGGGCUAAAGUAGAGGUUGGAGAGCAAGGAGCUAGAGGGGACCAGAGGAGGCCAAAAGCAGAGGACUUGGAGAGGGUGAGGCAUCUUCACUUCACUUUGGGAACAUUAAGUUGGUAACGUCGGGUUAUAUGUAAGUUAUCUCUGAGAAGAGAGGCAGUCCUUCCUCAGAGCAGAUGUUUGUGGGAAAUGCUAGAGUGACAAUGGUGGACUGAAUUCAGACACAGGCCAAGGAACCGUGGAGCUCAUCUUGAGUCCUCUUCAGCCGAUGUGAAGAACACUCUGGACCACGAGGUGAGGGACAGUGCUAUGGCACUUCCUACACUCUUUUCCCAAGCACCUGCGACAUGUGAUUCUAUGUGUUAUGUGGCUCCCACAGAUGACAUCAGCACUCCCUCUAGGAACUCACUGACGAAAGAAAAGCAUCUCUGGGGAGGGAGACAUACCUCCUCAUCAUCUCUUUUUCGCUGCCCAAGAUGUGAGCUAAAUGGUACCCGCCCUUGUUUUAAGGGAGAAAGAAUUUGUUUUGACUCAUAUUAAAGAGGGUACUGCCCCAUCAUGGGAGGGAAGACCUGCCAGCUAGAGUGGAAGGGAUUGGUGGUGUGACUUUUUCACAUCUUGUGGUUCAGAGGUAGAGGCAGAGGCAGAGGCAGAGAGCUCUGGUUGGAAAUGGGACUAGACUAUAACCCCAAACGAUCUGUACCCAGGGACCGCCUCUACCAGCCACAUCUCCUACCCUAAAGGUCCCAGAGCUCCCCCAAACAGGUGUUCACACCGCAGCUUAUGGUAGGAGAUAUUUUACAUUCAAACUAUAAUAUUUCACCCCUGACCCUCAGGGACCAGGACAGAUGAGCUAUUCAGGACUGAGAUAUUUCUCCAAGCCCAGCCACAGCAAGGCAUGAUCCUUCCCCUUGGCAGUACUUCCCAGAGGGAAAUCCCCCUAGUCAGGAGGUUGGAGAACAGCUGGGCUAACAUUACACUGCUAAAUGAUGUUAGGAAUGACUGCAAGCUUGGGUACCUGGGUAGCUUAAGCCACAGGUAGGAUUUGUACUGCAUUGGGGGAGGUGGUGGGUAAGAACUUUCUAGACUAUGAGGAAUCCUUGAACCAAAGUCAAGGAUGGAUAGGGACGAGGUUGGCUGUGCAGGACCCUCAUCUGUCGAGGCAUCUGUCGAGCUACAUUGGACAGGCUCUGCCUGUAACAACCCGAAGACAACCAGGGAACGCCUCCCCAGUCAUGUUGCUCCCAGGGUCCUCUGAUGUUGCUACUACAGCAUGCCUGUUGCUCCAGAGCUGGUGGUGGCUGGGGCACGGGGAAAUGUGAAUGGCAGAGGUGCUCCCGGCCCCCAGCCUCCAUCUUGAGCGGGAGGAGAGAACCCGACCACGAGGUGUUUUCCAGACUCCAGGCAGGCGCUAGGGAUAACCUUGUAGGAGGGAGGGAGAAUCCAAUUAGACAUGCAAGGCUGGGAGCUGUGUGGUGAGUGGGCAAAGCUUGAGUCUCGCUUUCUGGCUUCCCUGGCCCUCAGUGGGAUGUGACAGCUUGGCUCCCUCAUGGCAGCCCCUCUCGUCCCAUUUUCCUCUCCAAUCACUGUGCUCUGACCACCACCCUAUCUAACUUGGAGUGUAGUCAUGACAGAAUGAGCCCUGAGUCAGCCACACCUAAAGGGAAUGAUAACCACUGUUCCCUUCUCUUCAUUUGCCUCUAACUUUGGGUAGGGUGCUGCCUCCUGCUCCCCUGGGAGUUUCAUACCCAUACUUCCCUCUUCCAUUUCUCUGAACUUUGCAUAAAGUGCCUGUUUUAUCCCCUCUACUUGGCCUUGACACAAAUAGUGACAAGUGACCUUGUUCCUUCUGGAAUCAUCAUCCCAACUGUCCCUAACAGCCAACUAGAUGAGUUACCAUCUGAGCCUGGACCUUUCUGCCUCCAAGGUAUCCCCAUUAUCCUUACUGAGGGACAUUGUAGUAGACACCUAAGCAUGUUGGUAGGAAGUGGCUUACUGUGACCUCGGACAGACCCCUGACCUCCUCAAGCCUUCAGCAGCUGGUCCCUCCCAUUUGAGGAUCCAGGGAGGGGAAGAGCCUGUUGGUGGAGCUUCUACUGUGAUGGGUGGGCCCAAGCAGCAACCUUCCUCCCUGGCCCCUGGGUAGAAGUUUCUGGAAGUAUUGUUUGGUUGGAUGCUGAGUACCAACUUCAUUUCCAAGCCUCUUGAUGGUCUACCUGGCCCUUCUCUUCCAGCUCUGCUGGGGCUAUCUGAAGGGGGCUUUUUUGGGAAGGUAAGAUCUGUGGUUAGUCUUAGCACCCCUCCAAGAGUCAGAGCUCGACACUGCCCAGGUACUUAUUCCUCUGUCAUUUCAUUAGACUGUCCUCAGAGGUGUGAGGAACUCCAAUUAGACAUUCAGCCAGCCUGCUUGUGUGGGGGCCUGGGCUG
Cricetulus griseus (Chinese hamster) is the source of this 4431-nucleotide non-coding RNA. NCBI's taxonomy places the organism in Eukaryota, Metazoa, Chordata, Mammalia, Rodentia, Cricetidae. The record is from RefSeq and is a predicted model, not a curated record.